RNAcentral lists this ribosomal RNA (253 nucleotides) under uncultured bacterium. RNAcentral's name for it is "partial 16S ribosomal RNA". It matches the Rfam family "Bacterial small subunit ribosomal RNA", at positions 524 to 776 of the family's 1533-position model. The record is from RNAcentral.
UACGGGGGGGGCAAGCGUUGUUCGGAAUUACUGGGCGUAAAGGGCUCGUAGGUGGCCAACUAAGUCAGACGUGAAAUCCCUCGGCUUAACCGGGGAACUGCGUCUGAUACUGGAUGGCUUGAGAUUGGGAGAGGGAUGCGGAAUUCCAGGUGUAGCGGUGAAAUGCGUAGAUAUGUGGAGGAACACCAGUGGCGAAGGCGGCUCUUUGGUCUGUAACUGACGCUGAGGCGCGAAAGCGUGGGGAGCAAACAGG